This 73-nucleotide transfer RNA is filed under the name Agrilus planipennis (emerald ash borer). It matches the Rfam family "tRNA". From Rfam's summary of the family: Transfer RNA (tRNA) molecules are approximately 80 nucleotides in length. Their secondary structure includes four short double-helical elements and three loops (D, anti-codon, and T loops). Further hydrogen bonds mediate the characteristic L-shaped molecular structure. tRNAs have two regions of fundamental functional importance: the anti-codon, which is responsible for specific mRNA codon recognition, and the 3' end, to which the tRNAs corresponding amino acid is attached (by aminoacyl-tRNA synthetases). tRNAs cope with the degeneracy of the genetic code in two manners: having more than one tRNA (with a specific anti-codon) for a particular amino acid; and 'wobble' base-pairing, i.e. permitting non-standard base-pairing at the 3rd anti-codon position. Lineage: Eukaryota; Metazoa; Arthropoda; Insecta; Coleoptera; Buprestidae. The record is from Rfam by way of RNAcentral.
CCUUUCGUAGUUUAGUGGUCAAAGCAUUGAAAAGUAAAGCUAAAGGUCCCGAGUUCAAUUCCCGGCGAGGGUG